Long non-coding RNA from Manis pentadactyla (Chinese pangolin), 1183 nucleotides. RefSeq lists it as uncharacterized. The transcript has 4 exons. Lineage: Eukaryota; Metazoa; Chordata; Mammalia; Pholidota; Manidae. The record is from RefSeq and is a predicted model, not a curated record.
UCUUACUUGGUGAAUGCUGCUGCCUGUUGGGUUUGCACGUUGUUUUGGGUUUUGAGGGUGAGAGGCUGGUUCACAGAAGAGAUUUGAGGCUGGGUUUGCCUGACUUCCACUGACAGAAAGCCAGGCUGCAGAGAACUGGGCACUCACUCAUCCUGGGGAGGGAGGGCUCCAUGAUGGGGCCUGAGCAGCAGAAACAUUGGAAAACAGACAAACAAGUUUAAAUUUUUGAUAGAAUAAAAAUAAAAAAUAGAUCUUUUCUUUCUUUCUAGUCAAAAUAAGAGAAGAGAUUACAUUCAAAGGACUGUGGGGGAGCUUAAGGGAGGAGCUGUUCCAUUGCUUUCCUUAAAUUGGCUCACCUACACUCGCAUCUUGGUAUGAAACCUUGCCUGGUGAGCUCAGGAGGACAAGGAGGGAAAAAAAUCUGCCAUAGCACAUAGACAUAGAUGAUGAGUUCACAGAUAAUGUCACAUGGAGUUAAGUAUUAUGCCAUCUUUAUUCUUUCAGGAAUUUGGUUGGUAACAUUAAGAAAAUAUUCCUCCAGCACCUGGAAUGCCCUUCCUAUUGUCCUUGGUGUCCCAAGGGCUUGGCAACGGUCACAUGAAGCCAGAAUUGAAGGCUUGCGUGGUGGCCCUGCUGCUAUCAACUGCUGAGGGAGCUUGGGAACAUCUAUUGUCUUUGGUUCCCAAUGUCCUCGUCGGUAAGAUAAGAUUGCAGAACUGAUGUCAGUGGAAGUAAUGAAUGAUGUUGCAACACCUGGACAUACAACAGGAAAUAGAUGAUAAAGCCCCAGCUGAAGAAGAUUCUUCUCACCUGGCAAAUACUCAAGUUCCCAAAGCUAUGGUGUCUGCCAGAUCUAGCUUGAAUCUGAAAAGCAUUUGUUUCUAGCAGAAUACAAGGUCAAUAUACAAAAAUCUAUUCUAAUGUCUGUAUAAUUUCAAUGCACAAUUAAAAUAUGAGUAAUCGUAGUGUUGGCGUGUUGAGUUUGUUCUCUUUGGUUCCUGUCCCUACCGCAACAAAGACUUGAAGGUCAGAGACAUAGUAGUGAAGCAGAAUGAAAGUUUUAUUCGAAUACACUCCAAAGGAGGAACAGGUUAGAGUCAAGAUAGGUAAAUGCAGGUUUUACUUGAAUAAAGCAGAGAAGACAGAAAAAUGGAGGGAGGAAAGGGAAGCUCAUUGAACUACU